CUUCAACGAGCCCAGCCACAACGGCCGCUCCGCGGGCCGAUCCUGGCCGUAGGUCGCCAGCAACGCCUGCGCCUC
Molecule: antisense RNA, 75 nt
Filed under: Streptomyces spiroverticillatus
Lineage: Bacteria; Bacillati; Actinomycetota; Actinomycetes; Kitasatosporales; Streptomycetaceae
Description: ASpks TB sRNA
Rfam family: ASpks TB sRNA
Source: Rfam by way of RNAcentral